Molecule: ribosomal RNA, 99 nt
Filed under: Gemmatimonadota bacterium
Lineage: Bacteria; Pseudomonadati; Gemmatimonadota
Also listed under: 1 other name
Description: Gemmatimonadetes bacterium (marine sediment metagenome) partial 23S ribosomal RNA
Rfam family: Bacterial large subunit ribosomal RNA
Source: RNAcentral
CUGAAGGUCCCCAGGAGACGACUGGGUAGAUAGGCGGCAGGUGUAAGCGGAGCGAUCCGUUCAGCCGAGCCGUACUAAUCGACCGUGCGGCUCAAUUCC